This 431-nucleotide ribosomal RNA is filed under the name uncultured bacterium. Its description in RNAcentral is "bacterial SSU rRNA". It matches the Rfam family "Bacterial small subunit ribosomal RNA", at positions 354 to 777 of the family's 1533-position model. The record is from RNAcentral.
GUGGGGAAUAUUGCACAAUGGGCGCAAGCCUGAUGCAGCCAUGCCGCGUGUAUGAAGAAGGCCUUCGGGUUGUAAAGUACUUUCAGCGAGGAGGAAGGCAUUAAGGUUAAUAACCUUAGUGAUUGACGUUACUCGCAGAAGAAGCACCGGCUAACUCCGUGCCAGCAGCCGCGGUAAUACGGAGGGUGCAAGCGUUAAUCGGAAUUACUGGGCGUAAAGCGCACGCAGGCGGUUUGUUAAGUCAGAUGUGAAAUCCCCGGGCUCAACCUGGGAACUGCAUUUGAAACUGGCAAGCUUGAGUCUUGUAGAGGGGGGUAGAAUUCCAGGUGUAGCGGUGAAAUGCGUAGAGAUCUGGAGGAAUACCGGUGGCGAAGGCGGCCCCCUGGACAAAGACUGACGCUCAGGUGCGAAAGCGUGGGGAGCAAACAGGA